Molecule: long non-coding RNA, 2269 nt
Organism: Mugil cephalus (flathead mullet)
Lineage: Eukaryota; Metazoa; Chordata; Actinopteri; Mugiliformes; Mugilidae
Exons: 3
Source: RefSeq, a predicted model, not a curated record
UUGUCAUGGUUUUGGGGUGUUAAUAAAAUCGGCCAAAUUCCAAUUAUCAACAUAGGCCACGUCGUUGGUUGGACACCACCUAGACAACCAGCGGUGGAAUGACGACAUGCGACUAUACAUAUGGUCACUGGUCAGAUUGGGCAGGGGACCAGAGAAAACUACGGAGUCCGACAUAGUUUUAGCAAACUUACUCACCGAUUCAACAUUAAGUUUAGUGACCUCCGAUUGACGUAACUGUUGGUCAUUACUGCCGACGUGUAUAACAAUUGUACCAUACGUAGCCUUAGCCUUAGCAUUAGCAUUAGCAUUAGCAUUAGCAUUAGCAUUAGCCAGCAGUUUCAGGUAAGAUUUGGUGUCGCCCGCUCUGGCCCCUGGAACGCAUCUAACUAUGGUCGCUGGUUUCUCUAACUUCAGGUUCCGCAAAAUCGAGUCGGCAAUUACCAGAGUUGGCUUCUCAGCGGGUUUGUCGCCGAGUGGGGAAAAUCCGUUAGAAAUGUGAAGCGGUUGGUGGUGCUCCGUGGGCCGGGUAAGAGGCCAGGAGAGAACAAUCAGUCCAAGUCCUUCUAUGCACAGUAACAGCCGGUGUUACAAUGGAAGGGGUUUCCUCUAAUGCACAGUAGCAAGAGUUAAAAUGUUUGUCAUUUUCAAAUCAUUAAUGCUUUCACAACUAAUACAGGAGCUUAAAGACCGACUGUUGCACUGGAGUCUCUCACUAUGUGAGGUAAUUUAUGUGUACAGUACGUUUAGAGUUGAACAUCAAGUAGCAGUGAACACACACGGGCAACGUACAGUAAACAUAAAGACAUUUACAAAAUUAGUUUUAUGCUCAAACAUGAACAUACUGUGAAUAACAACUAAAAAAGCUCCACCCUGACGCAGUAAAAAGUUUUUGGUAAAAGGAAAGAAAAAGUCUCACAUUUGAUGGUGGGAGUAGGAGUAGGAGUCUGUCUCCUACAGCUCUUCAUCUGAUGACUUCUCCGUGGCUCUUUCUUCUUUUAGUAUUCCUUCAGAUGAUCUGACGUGUGUGUUGUUUGGUGUGUUUCCAGUCUGUCAGGUUGUCUGAUCACAGAGGAAGGAUGUUCUUCUCUGGCCUCAGCUCUGAGCUCCAACCCCUCCCAUCUGAGAGAGCUGGACCUGAGCUACAACCAUCCAGGAGACAAGGGAGUGGAGCUGCUGUCUGCUGGACUGGAGGAUCCACGCUGGAGACUGGACACUCUCAGGGUGGAGCCUUGUGGAGUCCAAUGGUUGAAACCAGGUCUGAGGAAGUAUUUCUGCCAACUCACAGUCGACACAAACUCAGUAAACAGGAACCUCAAACUGUCUGACGACAACAGGAAGGUGACAUAUGUGAUGGAGGAGCAGCCAUAUCCUGAUCAUCCAGACAGAUUUGAGUCGUGUUCUCAGCUGCUGUGUAGAGAUGUUCUGACUGGUCGAUGUUACUGGGAGGUCGAGUGGAGACAAGAUGUUUUUAUAUCAGUGAGUUACAGAGGAAUCAAAAGGAGAGGAGACAGAGAUGACUGUGUUUUUGGAUUUAAUGAUCAGUCCUGGAGUCUGAGAUGCUCUGAUCGUCAUGGUUACUAUGUCUGGCACAAUAACAUAAAAACAUCCAUCUCCUCGUCCUCUGUCUCUAAUAGAGUCUCUGUGUAUGUGGACUGUCCUGCUGGAACUCUGUCCUUCUACAGAGUCUCCUCUAACAAACUGAUCCACCUCCACACCUUCAACACCACAUUCACUCAACCUCUCUCUCCUGGAUUUACAGUCUGGUAUCCUCCUCCUGGUUCUUCAGUGUCUCUGUAGUUUAAAGAGUUUCCUCCUGGUAGAGAAACUCUCUUUCUGCUGAACAGAGAGUUCAGUCUGUACAGGAUCACUCACUCUGUAUCUCAGAGCCAGAUUAAUGUGUGUGUCCAUGGUAACGGAGAUAGGUCACCAUGGUAACAGAGAUGGUUUGGUUGGUUGAGGUUCUUCUCCAUAGUCGGUGUGUUACCUACAGUAGAUGGUGGUUGGAGAAGCAGACAGGAGGACCAGCAUGAAGACGAGCAAUGAACUGAUGUGGACGUUCUCAUCAGAAAAACUUCUUUUAACCUUUAACAAGGUGCAGAGUGUGAUUCUCUGGGUGGACAGCAGGAGGCAGCAGAGCCUCAUGUUUCUCUGCAGAGCAUCUGUUGGUCUGUUCCUCCAACAAGAUCAUCAUGUUCACUGGUGGAAGAAUCGAAAGUUCAACAUUUAGUCCCACUGAGAGCUUCAAUAAAGUGAUUUUAUUUCUCCUGUC